This 349-nucleotide ribosomal RNA is filed under the name uncultured bacterium. Its description in RNAcentral is "bacterial SSU rRNA". It matches the Rfam family "Bacterial small subunit ribosomal RNA", at positions 917 to 1264 of the family's 1533-position model. The record is from RNAcentral.
GGGCCCGCACAAGCGGUGGAGCAUGUGGUUUAAUUCGAUGAUACGCGAGGAACCUUACCUGGGCUUAAAUGUAGAGUGACAGCUGUAGAAAUACGGUUUUCUUCGGACACUUUACAAGGUGCUGCAUGGUUGUCGUCAGCUCGUGCCGUGAGGUGUCGGGUUAAGUCCCAUAACGAGCGCAACCCCUAUUGUUAGUUGCUAACGAGUAAUGUCGAGGACUCUAGCAAAAACUGCCCGCGCAAGCGGUGAGGAAAGGUGGGGGAUGACGUCAAAUCAUCACGGCCCUUACGUCCAGGGCUACACACGUGCUACAAUGGUAGAGACAGAGGGCAGCCACCCCGGCGACGGA